This 231-nucleotide long non-coding RNA is filed under the name Setaria viridis. Its description in RNAcentral is "long non-coding RNA (SVIR_LNC008790)". The record is from RNAcentral. Lineage: Eukaryota; Viridiplantae; Streptophyta; Magnoliopsida; Poales; Poaceae.
GGGCCUGCUGAUUGAUAUUACCAAGAUACUCUCUCAAAAUUUUGUUUCCAAGUUAUAUAUGCCCCUAGCACUCGUUGAUGGAAAGGUUUGCAGUUCAUUUGGUAACAGUGUAAGAAAACACAAAGUCCACAUUAGUUUGAGCUUAGCGUUGAAGCGAGAUGGAUAUGUUCUUAAGAAUAAGCAUAUUUUUGAAAUAAAUGUAAUAUAUUCCUGUCACAAAGUUCAGAGACC